GGAAACAGGUGCUAAUACCGGAUAAUAAAGCAGAUCGCAUGAUCAGCUUUUGAAAGGCGGCGUAAGCUGUCGCUAAGGGAUGGCCCCGCGGUGCAUUAGCUAGUUGGUAAGGUAACGGCUUACCAAGGCGACGAUGCAUAGCCGAGUUGAGAGACUGAUCGGCCACAUUGGGACUGAGACACGGCCCAAACUCCUACGGGAGGCAGCAGUAGGGAAUCUUCCACAAUGGACGCAAGUCUGAUGGAGCAACGCCGCGUGAGUGAAGAAGGUUUUCGGAUCGUAAAGCUCUGUUGUUGGUGAAGAAGGAUAGAGGUAGUAACUGGCCUUUAUUUGACGGUAAUCAACCAGAAAGUCACGGCUAACUACGUGCCAGCAGCCGCGGUAAUACG
RNAcentral lists this ribosomal RNA (389 nucleotides) under uncultured bacterium. Its description in RNAcentral is "bacterial SSU rRNA". It matches the Rfam family "Bacterial small subunit ribosomal RNA", at positions 152 to 527 of the family's 1533-position model. The record is from RNAcentral.